This 63-nucleotide transfer RNA is filed under the name Fukomys damarensis (Damara mole-rat). It matches the Rfam family "tRNA", at positions 5 to 66 of the family's 71-position model. From Rfam's summary of the family: Transfer RNA (tRNA) molecules are approximately 80 nucleotides in length. Their secondary structure includes four short double-helical elements and three loops (D, anti-codon, and T loops). Lineage: Eukaryota; Metazoa; Chordata; Mammalia; Rodentia; Bathyergidae. The record is from Rfam by way of RNAcentral.
GUGCAGCUCAGUGGUACAGCUUGUGUUUAACAUGUACAAGGCCCUGGGUUCAAUCCCCAGCAC